Molecule: ribosomal RNA, 434 nt
Filed under: uncultured bacterium
Lineage: Bacteria
Description: partial 16S ribosomal RNA
Rfam family: Bacterial small subunit ribosomal RNA
Source: RNAcentral
AGCGAACGCUGGCGGCAGGCCUAACACAUGCAAGUCGAACGAACCUUUCGGGGUUAGUGGCGGACGGGUGAGUAACACGUGGGAACGUGCCUUUAGGUUCGGAAUAACUCAGGGAAACUUGUGCUAAUACCGAAUGUGCCCUUCGGGGGAAAGAUUUAUCGCCUUUAGAGCGGCCCGCGUCUGAUUAGCUAGUUGUUUGAGGUAAUGGCUCACCAAGGCGACGAUCAGUAGCUGGUCUGAGAGGAUGAUCAGCCACAUUGGGACUGAGACACGGCCCAAACUCCUACGGGAGGCAGCAGUGGGGAAUCUUGCGCAAUGGGCGAAAGCCUGACGCAGCCAUGCCGCGUGAAUGAUGAAGGUCUUAGGAUUGUAAAAUUCUUUCACCGGGGACGAUAAUGACGGUACCCGGAGAAGAAGCCCCGGCUAACUUCGUG